UACGUAGGGGGCAAGCGUUGUCCGGAUUUAUUGGGCGUAAAGAGCGUGUAGGCGACUUUACAGGUCCGUUGUGAAAUCUCCGGGCUUAACUCGGAAAGGUCAACUGAUACUGUGCGACUAGAGUGCGGAAGGGGCAACUGGAAUUCUCGGUGUAGCGGUGAAAUGCGUAGAUAUCGAGAGGAACACCUGCGGCGAAGGCGGGUUGCUGGGCCGACACUGACGCUGAUGCGCGAAAGCCAGGGGAGCGAACGGG
Molecule: ribosomal RNA, 253 nt
Filed under: uncultured bacterium
Lineage: Bacteria
Description: partial 16S ribosomal RNA
Rfam family: Bacterial small subunit ribosomal RNA
Source: RNAcentral